GAAAUGCGAUAAGUAAUGUGAAUUGCAGAAUUCAGUGAAUCAUCGAAUCUUUGAACGCACAUUGCGCCCGUCAGCAUUCUGGCGGGCAUGCCUGUUCGAGCGUCAUUUCAACCCUCAGGACCCCCCUUUCGCGGGGAGGGACCUGGCGUUGGGGAUCGGCCCGCCCCCCGCGGCGGCGCCGUCCCCGAAAUCUAGUGGCGGUCUCGCUGCAGCCUCCCCUGCGUAGUAGUUACAACCUCGCAUCGGAGCGCGGCGCGGCCACGCCGUAAAACCCCCGACUUUCUGAACGUUGACCUCGGAUCAGGUAGGAAUACCCGCCGAACUUAAGC
RNAcentral lists this unclassified non-coding RNA (329 nucleotides) under plant metagenome. RNAcentral describes it as "partial contains 5.8S ribosomal RNA, internal transcribed spacer 2, and large subunit ribosomal RNA". The stretch from base 1 to 105 matches the Rfam family "5.8S ribosomal RNA", at positions 50 to 154 of the family's 154-position model. The record is from RNAcentral.